AGAAAAAACUAAAUAUGCAAUCGUAUAACAUCGGUAAUACGGACCGAAAGUCUCUACCUACCAACCGUAAAUUGGUAGACUACGAUUAGUGCUGAGUUUUAU
RNAcentral lists this non-coding RNA (102 nucleotides) under Haloplasma contractile. RNAcentral's name for it is "Guanine sequence". It matches the Rfam family "Purine riboswitch aptamer". Rfam says of the family: Riboswitches are metabolite binding domains within certain messenger RNAs that serve as precision sensors for their corresponding targets. Allosteric rearrangement of mRNA structure is mediated by ligand binding, and this results in modulation of gene expression. Lineage: Bacteria; Bacillati; Mycoplasmatota; Mollicutes; Haloplasmatales; Haloplasmataceae. RNAcentral also lists the same sequence under 1 other name. The record is from RNAcentral.